UGUGUGACAGGCAGCCAGCCAGUCUGGCUUCCUUUCAAACACAGCUCUCACGACGAGAAAGAAAGCAGCCCAGCUUUUUUCAACCGACUGAAAGAGCAAGAAAUGUAGAGCUGCAGAAGAACCUGCUGGAUAAAGGAAUCCUUCCAGGGAACGUCUCCACGUUUGCCUCUCCUGCUAGACCUCGAGUAGCAGACGGCUAGCAGUGAUACAGCGCAGGACCUCAUCGCACCCCUUCACUGAUGCACGCAUUCAGGACAAUGGUAUUAGCGAGCUUAAGGAGGUUGCACAGACUCCAGAGAGACAUCUCUGGGAACACUGAGAUGAGCUGCGGUGAUUCAUACAGUUUCCAAGGAAACGGGAAUUUCAUGAGCCAAUCGAGAAGCAUCUGAUGAAAUGAGCCUGUGGCACUGCUUUGGGAUCGCACUCUUCCAGGGGGAAGAAACCAGCCCUAAUUCUGAGAAAAACAAACUAAAUGGCUGUAUAUGAAACAGCAAGAGCUUCACAUCUCAACUUCGCUUUGCAGGGAGAGAAAAUAUGGGCACAGGAUGGCCAGGGGAAGAGGAAGAAAAUGGCUAGGUUCACUAGCUGAUGGUAUUAUGAAAUCCACGUUUGAUUUGCUCUCCUGUUUAUUCCAUUCUUCAACUUCAAA
Carcharodon carcharias (great white shark) is the source of this 649-nucleotide long non-coding RNA. RefSeq lists it as uncharacterized. The record is from RefSeq and is a predicted model, not a curated record. The transcript has 4 exons. Lineage: Eukaryota; Metazoa; Chordata; Chondrichthyes; Lamniformes; Lamnidae.